Molecule: RNA transcript, 1531 nt
Organism: Phalaenopsis equestris
Lineage: Eukaryota; Viridiplantae; Streptophyta; Magnoliopsida; Asparagales; Orchidaceae
Exons: 5
Source: RefSeq, a predicted model, not a curated record
AAGUACGCACGAUUCUUUAUUUCACCUUUCCCAGUAUGCCUGAUGCCUCCUUCCUUUUCCCUAUUUCUCUGAUUCCAUCUUUUUCAAGUUUUUGCAGCAUUCCUCUCCCAAUUGAAUAAAAAAGUCACCUUUUUAACAAAACUGUAAAGAUUCCUCCUUGUUUGCUUCUGCGGAGGUAUCGAACACCAACCGAGCUCUCCCACCUUCUUCCUUUUUGUGUUCUUUUUUGGGUUUCUGUUCAUGAUUUGUCAUCCAUAUGCGUAAAAGUUUGAGCGUUGGUGCUCUCUCCAUGAUUCCCCCUCUCUAUUUCAUAGAACAGGACCUAAAACCUUCCCUUCAACGCCAAGCAUUUGGUUCCAUCGAAGAGACUGAAUUCAUAUAGUUUAAAGAUGGAGGAAGUUUGAAUUUUGAAAGUUGGUUUUUUGUUCUUGCCCUAUUUUUGUUUGAUUGAAUAUUGAUAUGAUUUCACGUUGGUUCUAUUCUACAAGUCCUACUGUCCGUCUAUCCGAUUCUCUAAAUAUUCUGUCUGUGUUUAUUCUCCCCGAGCAAUAAAAUCGGAAGAUUCCCACCAUGUUGCUUCCAGUCCAAUUCCAGUUCCUCUUGUUGUGGAGGAUAACUCAUCUGAAGUGAAGACUGAGGUGAAGGAGAAAGGGGCAGGAAAUGAGAAAGCUGAUGGUUUACUGAAGAGCAGCCUGAAGAAGUCAGCUGGUUCAGGAAAGGAGGAGGUUGGUAAAGGGGGGGGUGAAAUGGAUGGAUUUGGUUGGGAAAGAACUUGCGGCGAUCAGGGAAUUUGAACCCAUGUUAUUAGAGUUCAAUGGUCAUUACAUGCAAGGGAAGCAAUUGUCUUUGAGCUUCUGCAACACGAAAGGAACUGUCACAAAAAGUUUACUGGAAAGAAUUAAAAAUACUACAAGUGAAAUGCUACAAGAGCAGGAAGUAGUUCGUGGACGAAUCUUCACCAUUCAAGACGUACUUCAAAGCACAGUUCGUGCAUGUUUAGAGGAUAAAAGUCUGAGAAUUACUCAUAAUCUGAGAAUCUUAGGGGUUUGUGGACUGUUUGUUUCCAUAAUAGUUGGCCUUUUUGGGAUCAAUCUGGAUGGAAUCUUUCGAGCUAAGAACAUUCCAUAUGCAUUUGUACUGUUUUGUGGACUUCUCCUCUUCAUUGGAAUAAUAUUAAUUUAUUUUAGCAUUCUCUAUUUUCGGCUGAAGAAAGAAGCCUGACACUGAAGAGCAGGUCAAUGGAUAGUUUUGGGGGAGAUGCAUAGAGAUCUUUCAAAAAUAUAAACGUGUUUCAGGGUUCUAAUGUGGAAUGGUGUAGUGAGGAAGAAGCAACAUGAACAUUCAAGUUGAGUUCAAAAGGGGAGUUAUUAACAUUUAAAUGGCAUUCCAAUUGGUAAUUGCUACAAAAAGUUUUAUGUGAAAAUAUGGAGAACUGCAUUUCUGUAAAGUUUAGCUAUUGUUUAGUUAUUUUGAAAUGUUUCUGUGUAAUGCUUCUUUAAAGUUUAUCUAUUGUUGCAUUUGGUAUUUUCAC